Molecule: unclassified non-coding RNA, 163 nt
Filed under: soil metagenome
Description: partial internal transcribed spacer 1
Source: RNAcentral
AUGAAUUGAAUAUGUUAGCGGACCUCUUCGGAGUCCCUAGCAUCAAAUCAUAUCCAUAACACCUGUGAACUGUAAGGCUGUCCUGAAAACGAAAGUGAUUAGAGCGCCUGCCCAUUUUAUACAAACAUUAAAGUAACAAACGUAGUCUUAUUAUAAUCUAAUA